AUUGAACGCUGGCGGCAUGCCUUACACAUGCAAGUCGAACGGCAGCACGGGUGCUUGCACCUGGUGGCGAGUGGCGAACGGGUGAGUAAUACAUCGGAACGUACCUUAUCGUGGGGGAUAACGCAGCGAAAGCUGUGCUAAUACCGCAUGCGCCCCGAGGGGGAAAGCGGGGGAUCGAAAGACCUCGCGCGAUUAGAGCGGCCGAUGCCUGAUUAGCUUGUUGGUGGGGUAAAAGCCCACCAAGGCGACGAUCAGUAGCUGGUCUGGGAGGACAAUCAGCCACACUGGGACUGGGACACGGCCCAGACUCCUACGGGAGGCAGCAGUGGGGAAUUUUGGACAAUGGGGGCUACCCUGAUCCAGCAAUGCCGCGUGAGUGAAGAAGGCCUUCGGGUUGUAAAGCUCUUUUGUCAGGGAAGAAACACCGGCUCUAACACAGUCCGGGAAUGACGGUACCUGAAGAAUAAGCACCGGCUAACUACGUGCCAGCAGCCGCCGUAA
RNAcentral lists this ribosomal RNA (501 nucleotides) under uncultured bacterium. Its description in RNAcentral is "partial 16S ribosomal RNA". It matches the Rfam family "Bacterial small subunit ribosomal RNA", at positions 29 to 523 of the family's 1533-position model. The record is from RNAcentral.